This 782-nucleotide ribosomal RNA is filed under the name uncultured bacterium. Its description in RNAcentral is "bacterial SSU rRNA". It matches the Rfam family "Bacterial small subunit ribosomal RNA", at positions 28 to 817 of the family's 1533-position model. The record is from RNAcentral.
GAUGAACGCUGGCGGCGUGCCUAACACAUGCAAGUCGAGCGAAGCAUAAUGAUUAGCUUGCUAAGAGUUAUGACUGAGCGGCGAACGGGUGAGUAACACGUGGGUGAUCUGCCUGAAAGACUGGGAUAACAGUUGGAGACGGCUGCUAAUACCGGAUGACAUUUAAUCUGUAAGAGAUUAAAUCAAAGCGUUAAGUAGCGCUUUCAGAUGAGCCCGCGUCCCAUUAGCUGGUUGGUGGGGUAAUGGCCUACCAAGGCGACGAUGGGUAGCCGGUCUGAGAGGAUGGACGGCCACACUGGGACUGAGACACGGCCCAGACUCCUACGGGAGGCAGCAGUGGGGAAUUUUGCGCAAUGGGGGCAACCCUGACGCAGCGACGCCGCGUGAGCGAAGAAGGCCUUCGGGUUGUAAAGCUCGGUUGAGGGGGAAGAUAGUGACGGUACCCCUUAAGAAAGCCCCGGCUAACUACGUGCCAGCAGCCGCGGUAAGACGUAGGGGGCGAGCGUUGUCCGGAAUUACUGGGCGUAAAGGGCGUGUAGGCGGCCUGUAAAGUCAGCUGUGAAAUCCCUUGGCUCAACUGAGGGCUUGCAGUUGAAACUACCAGGCUUGAGUGCAGGAGAGGAAGGUGGAAUUCCCAGUGUAGCGGUGAAAUGCGUAGAUAUUGGGAGGAACACCGGUGGCGAAGGCGGCCUUCUGGCCUGUAACUGACGCUGAGGCGCGAAAGCUAGGGGAGCAAACAGGAUUAGAUACCCUGGUAGUCCUAGCUGUAAACGCUGGGUACU